CAUGCAUGUCUAAGUACAAACCAAAUUAAGGUGAAACCGCGAAAGGCUCAUUAAAUCAGUUAUGGUUCCUUAGAUCGUACACAUUUACUUGGAUAACUGUGGUAAUUCUAGAGCUAAUACAUGCUAAGCGAGCCCCGACCUCACAGGGAAGGGGUGCUUUUAUUAGAUCAAAACCAAUCGGUGCGCUCUUUCGGGGGCGUUGCCGCAAACACUGGUGAAUCUGAAUAACUUUUGCUGAUCGCACGGCCUUGCGCCGGCGACGCAUCUUUCAAAUGUCUGCCUUAUCAACUUUCGAUGGUAGGUUCUGCGCCUACCAUGGUUGUAACGGGUAACGGGGAAUCAGGGUUCGAUUCCGGAGAGGGAGCCUGAGAAACGGCUACCACAUCCAAGGAAGGCAGCAGGCGCGCAAAUUACCCACUCCCGGCACGGGGAGGUAGUGACGAAAAAUAACGAUACGGGACUCAUCCGAGGCCCCGUAAUCGGAAUGAGUACACUUUAAAUCCUUCAACGAGGAUCAAUUGGAGGGCAAGUCUGGUGCCAGCAGCCGCGGUAAUUCCAGCUCCAAUAGCGUAUAUUAAAGUUGUUGCGGUUAAAAAGCUCGUAGUUGAAUUUGUGUUCCGCGCCGCUGGUACGCCGCUCGCGGCGAUAACUGGCGUGCGGUGGGACGUCCAGCCGGUGGACCGUGACCGGGUGCAGUGCGGGUCGUGCGUAACGGGCAGGGAUCGCGACCGGUGUGUCGGCUCUUGUGCUAGUUGGGUCUGUGUGCGGGCGUGCUUCACGGUGCGUCUCCGUUACCAGGUCCGCUAUGCGCGGGACUCGCUGCCGUGUUAAGCGCCUUGCCGCUGUGCGCCGGCCGGCUGCCCGCCAGGGCGGUCCGACGUCCGUCCGUGGGUGAGGCCGCGAGGUCCGCUCCGAGACGGAAAUCCUGCCGCGGUGCUCUUAACCGAGUGUCGAGGUGGGCCGGCACGUUUACUUUGAACAAAUUGGAGUGCUCAAAGCAGGCCAAUUAUAUGCCUGAACACUGUGCGCAUGGAAUAAUAGAAUAGGACCUCGGUUCUAUUUUGUUGGUUCUCGGAAGACCGAGGUAAUGAUUAAUAGGGACAGAUGGGGGCAUUCGUAUUGCGACGUUAGAGGUGAAAUUCUUGGAUCGUCGCAGGACGCACUAAAGCGAAAGCAUUUGCCAAAAAUGUUUUCAUUAAUCAAGAACGAAAGUUAGAGGCCCGAAGGCGAUCAGAUACCGCCCUAGUUCUAACCAUAAACUAUGCCAGCUAGCGAUCCGCCGACGUUACUUAUAUGACUCGGCGGGCAGCUUCCGGGAAACCAAAGCAUUUGGGUUCCGGGGGAAGUAUGGUUGCAAAGCUGAAACUUAAAGGAAUUGACGGAAGGGCACCACCAGGAGUGGAGCCUGCGGCUUAAUUUGACUCAACACGGGAAACCUCACCAGGCCCGGACACCGGAAGGAUUGACAGAUUGAGAGCUCUUUCUUGAUUCGGUGGGUGGUGGUGCAUGGCCGUUCUUAGUUGGUGGAGUGAUUUGUCUGGUUAAUUCCGAUAACGAACGAGACUCUAGCCUGCUAACUAGGCGUUUGAGAAUUCAAUCCGGUAUCUAUGAGGUGCGUGCACGCGAUCAGCUAUGGGCCGGAAGAGCGCCGUCGGCGGUCGGAUUUGGGCGGUGUCGUGCGCCGGUCGUGUCUAGUUGGGUGUUGCGCGUGGCGAUUGGUAAAACAGUUGUCGCGUGUGCAUUCGACUGGGCCGGUCGGUGUUGUCGGUGCCGUUCUGCCGGUCAAACCGUGCGGUGUGACUUUCGGUACCGGCCCGCGUUGCAACCGUGCUUUAACUACCGGCGUAAAUCGUAUUCUUCUUAGAGGGACAGGCGGAUCGAAGCCGCACGAGAUUGAGCAAUAACAGGUCUGUGAUGCCCUUAGAUGUUCUGGGCCGCACGCGCGCUACACUGAAGGAAUCAGCGUGUUUUUUCCCUGGCUGAAAGGCUCGGGUAACCCGCUGAACCUCCUUCGUGCUAGGGAUCGGGGAUUGCAAUUAUUCCCCGUGAACGAGGAAUUCCCAGUAAGCGCGAGUCAUAAGCUCGCGUUGAUUAAGUCCCUGCCCUUUGUACACACCGCCCGUCGCUACUACCGA
This 2135-nucleotide ribosomal RNA is filed under the name Sphaerius sp. BT0075. Its description in RNAcentral is "SSU rRNA". It matches the Rfam family "Eukaryotic small subunit ribosomal RNA", at positions 50 to 1688 of the family's 1831-position model. Lineage: Eukaryota; Metazoa; Arthropoda; Insecta; Coleoptera; Sphaeriusidae. The record is from RNAcentral.